Molecule: non-coding RNA, 485 nt
Organism: Pelobates cultripes (western spadefoot toad)
Lineage: Eukaryota; Metazoa; Chordata; Amphibia; Anura; Pelobatidae
Source: the annotation of a GenBank genome assembly
GUUUCUUUUCCCGUUCCCAACAAUCUAGGAAGUAGUAACAGUUGCUGUAUCAGUAAAUGUACAUGUAAGCCUAAUCAUAAGACUUAUUAAUUAUGUACUUAUGAGUUCAGGUAGUAAUAUUUUUGCCCUCUUUUUCAGGCCUGUUUUAUUGGUUUCAGCACAGCACAACCGACUUGCUACUUCUGGUAUAGCUCAAACCUAUUGUAUGCCCUUGGCUUUUGCCCCCGACCACAAAUAUAAAGGUAAUAUGCCUGGACUUGAGGGAGGGGGUUUGCCGGCCUACAUCUACAUACCUCCCAACUUCCUCCUGAUGUUCGGCCGACGUUUUGGAACCUCACCCAUCUCUUCCUCAUUAUAUUAUUUCAAUAGGUCGGCCCUCUUUGUCAGACCUACCCGUUUGUCGGUUUCGGAACACCACAAACAAACUUGCUAUUACUGAUAUAGCUCAAACUUAUUGUAUGCCCAUGGCCUUGGAACCCGACCAC